UGCAGUCGAACGCUGAAGCACCAGCUUGCUGGUGUGGAUGAGUGGCGAACGGGUGAGUAAUACGUGAGUAACCUGCCCUUGACUCUGGGAUAAGCCCGGGAAACUGGGUCUAAUACUGGAUGCUACAUGUCACCGCAUGGUGGUGUGUGGAAAGGGUUUACUGGUCUUGGAUGGGCUCACGGCCUAUCAGCUUGUUGGUGAGGUAAUGGCUCACCAAGGCGACGACGGGUAGCCGGCCUGAGAGGGUGACCGGCCACACUGGGACUGAGACACGGCCCAGACUCCUACGGGAGGCAGCAGUGGGGAAUAUUGCACAAUGGGCGAAAGCCUGAUGCAGCGACGCCGCGUGAGGGAUGACGGCCUUCGGGUUGUAAACCUCUUUCAGCAGGGAAGAAGCCACAAGUGACGGUACCUGCAGAAGAAGCGCCGGCUAACUACGUGCCAGCAGCCGCGGUAAUACGUAGGGCGCAAGCGUUGUCCGGAAUUAUUGGGCGUAAAGAGCUCGUAGGCGGUUUGUCGCGUCUGCUGUGAAAGCCCGGGGCUUAACCCCGGGUGUGCAGUGGGUACGGGCAGACUAGAGUGCAGUAGGGGAGACUGGAAUUCCUGGUGUAGCGGUGGAAUGCGCAGAUAUCAGGAGGAACACCGAUGGCGAAGGCAGGUCUCUGGGCUGUUACUGACGCUGAGGAGCGAAAGCAUGGGGAGCGAACAGGAUUAGAUACCCUGGUAGUCCAUGCCGUAAACGUUGGGCACUAGGUGUGGGGGACAUUCCACGUUUUCCGCGCCGUAGCUAACGCAUUAAGUGCCCCGCCUGGGGAGUACGGCCGCAAGGCUAAAACUCAAAGGAAUUGACGGGGGCCCGCACAAGCGGCGGAGCAUGCGGAUUAAUUCGAUGCAACGCGAAGAACCUUACCAAGGCUUGACAUAUACCGGAUCGUUCCAGAGAUGGUUCUUCCCCUUUGGGGUCGGUAUACAGGUGGUGCAUGGUUGUCGUCAGCUCG
Molecule: ribosomal RNA, 998 nt
Filed under: Kocuria palustris
Lineage: Bacteria; Bacillati; Actinomycetota; Actinomycetes; Micrococcales; Micrococcaceae
Description: bacterial SSU rRNA
Rfam family: Bacterial small subunit ribosomal RNA
Source: RNAcentral